AGAAGGCCGAGAUCUUCAUCGAGUUGUAUGUGUGCUGAACACGGAGGUGCCAUCCGUUCGGCACUAGAUCGGGAAGAAUCAUGAUAAGAUCGCGGUACGGAUCGUUAUGAGAUCAUGGGACGGACCAUGAUGGGAUCGCAAAAUAGAUCGUGCUUGGAUCGCGAAGACAUGCGACUACAUCAACCGCAUUAUAUACGCUUCCACUUAUCGAUCUACAAGGGUAUGUAGAUCCACUCUCUCCUCUCGUAGAUGGUCCUCACCAUGGAUAGAUCUUCUGUGCACGUAGGAAAGAAUUUGUUUCCCAUGCGAUGUUCCCCAACAACGGCAUCAUGACCUAGAUCUAUGCGUAGAUGACAUCUCGAGUAGAACACAAAGGAGUUUGUGGGUGUUGAUAUUCAUAUUGCUUCCCUCCUUAGUCUUUUCUUGAUUCGGCGGUAUUGUUGGAUGAAGCGGC
Molecule: long non-coding RNA, 454 nt
Filed under: Hordeum vulgare
Lineage: Eukaryota; Viridiplantae; Streptophyta; Magnoliopsida; Poales; Poaceae
Description: long non-coding RNA (HVUL_LNC015677)
Source: RNAcentral